GCCGCAACUAGAGAAAGCCUGCGCGCAGCAACAAAGACCCAACAUAGCCAAUAAAUAAAUAAAUAAAUGAAAAUAAAAAGUAAAAACAAGAUAUAAUGAAAAACAACAGAUUUUUUCAAAAAUUGUUUUGUGAUACCACCAGCCCUGCAGCCGCUCAUGCAGGCACCCAGCCUUGCUCAGUAGCUGAUUAGUCCUCACUUCAUGAGGCAGGGUCUGGCAGCCAGUUGGGCUGGGGGCCAAACCCACCCACCAGGACACUCAGAGUAGUUGGUUGCCCCACAACAGAAGGGCCCACUCAGCCCACGUAGGGGCACCCCUAGGGCAUAGAGUUCUGGUAUCCAAAGGGGAGUAUGCUAGGCCUACAUCUCCUACAUAGGCCACUUUUCCAAGAUCCAGAAACGUAAUAGGCAAGAUAUAGAAGCAAGCUAAGUGUCCAUCAACUUAAGUGUCCAGAUGAAUGGAUAAAGAAGAUGUACAAUGGAAUAUUACUCAGCCAUAAAAAAGGAAUGAAACCUUGCCAUUUGCAACAACAUGGAUGGAUCUAGAGAGUAUUACGCUAAGUGAAGUAAGUCAGACAGAAGAAGACAAAUACAGCAUGAUCUCACUUGUAUGAGGAAUCUAAAAAACAAACAAACAAAACACAAUGAGAACAGACUCACAGACACAGAGAAUAAAUGGUUGCCAGAAGGGAGGGGAGUGGAGGUGGGGGAAUAGGUGUAGAAGAUUAAGAGGUAUAACCUCUAGUUAUAUAAUGAAAAGUCACAGGGAUAAAGUACACAGCAUAUGGUUAAUAAUUAUUGUGACAACUUUGUAUGAGGACAGAUGGUUACUAGACUUACCAUAGUGAUCAUUUCAUAAUGUAUGCCAAUGUCAAAUCACUAUGUAAUACACCUGAAACGAACAUAUUAGUUAUAUUUCAAUUUCAACUAUAGUUCAAUAUUUGAAAAUGGCUUCCACUCCUUUGCGAUCUAUUCACCCCCCCAUUUUAAUAGCCAUGUUGGAUGGGUUGCAUGAAUGAGUUCAUUGUAAGGGUGGAUAUCGGCUCAUUAAUGCUGUUUAAAAAUAUUCACGUGCAACUUCCUGAGUUAAUGGUUUCAAACAUUUAAAUUCGUUCGUUGGAAAAUAAAUAAAAAAUGGAAAAUCUGUGCUUUUUUGCAUGUCAGACUCUGUUCUGGGCACCAAGAAGACAGACUCCCAGAGCCACAAUCCUCAACAGGAAGAGUCACAGCCUGCUGGGUGAGGCAGGUCACAGACCACCAGCCCAACGUCACGAUGGCUCUUGGAAUAAGAGUGAGGAGACACGAACUCUGCCUGGGAUCCUGGAGAAGCUUCCACAGAGGAAAUGAUGGUUAUCCUGCGUUAUAACGAAAGACGGAGACUUUGGAGGUGAGGAUGGAUGUUCACGCUGAGGGAGCUGAGGGUACAGACGUCGCUUUGGUCCAAACACUCUGGGAUUCAAUACCAAUUUAAGGCACUAUAAAUAUAGCAAAUGCUUAAACCGGAUCUUCAUGUACAAUUUACUGAAGGAGUCAAGCGUACAUUUCGGAACAAUUCAAAGCUCUAAUUUGGACUGUGGUCCUGGGGACGUGGUAAAUCCUCAAGAGUAAAAUUUAAGAUGUUUCAUCAUCCAUCCAAACCCCUUGACACACAGAUUUUCUUUACGCAAGGUUGUUCAGACACCAUAUUUUUUGUUAUUGAACGUGUAAUUUGACAAAUUGUUUUCUCUGUCUCAACUCUGGGAUUUAAUAGUUACAAAUAGGACCUUAAAAGGUAGACAUUCUUUACCUCCCCCCAUAAUUAUUACUUACUGUUUAUCACUCCCGCUCACUGGUCCUACCAACCGCUGUCCCCAGCAGGCGUACGCAAGUGUAACAGUUCUGUCCCGGUUGCCAUUCUGAAAAUAAAUUUGAUUUAAUUGUG
Globicephala melas (long-finned pilot whale) is the source of this 1920-nucleotide long non-coding RNA. RefSeq lists it as uncharacterized. Lineage: Eukaryota; Metazoa; Chordata; Mammalia; Artiodactyla; Delphinidae. The record is from RefSeq and is a predicted model, not a curated record.